This 391-nucleotide ribosomal RNA is filed under the name Acinetobacter baumannii. Its description in RNAcentral is "bacterial LSU rRNA". It matches the Rfam family "Bacterial large subunit ribosomal RNA", at positions 2318 to 2708 of the family's 2925-position model. The record is from RNAcentral. Lineage: Bacteria; Pseudomonadati; Pseudomonadota; Gammaproteobacteria; Moraxellales; Moraxellaceae.
UCCCUCAGAAUGGUUGGAAAUCAUUCGCAGAGUGUAAAGGCACAAGGGAGCUUGACUGCGAGACCUACAAGUCGAGCAGGGACGAAAGUCGGGCUUAGUGAUCCGGUGGUUCCGCAUGGAAGGGCCAUCGCUCAACGGAUAAAAGCUACCCUGGGGAUAACAGGCUUAUCUCCCCCAAGAGUCCACAUCGACGGGGAGGUUUGGCACCUCGAUGUCGGCUCAUCGCAUCCUGGAGCUGAAGUAGGUUCCAAGGGUUGGGCUGUUCGCCCAUUAAAGCGGUACGCGAGCUGGGUUCAGAACGUCGUGAGACAGUUCGGUCCCUAUCUACCGUGGGCGCUGGAAAUUUGAGAGGAUCUGCUCCUAGUACGAGAGGACCAGAGUGGACGAACCU